AUUGAACGCUGGCGGCAGGCCUAACACAUGCAAGUUCGAGCGGUAGAGAGAAGCUUGCUUCUCUUGAGAGCGGCGGGCGGGUGAGUAAUGCCUAGGAAUCUGCCUGGUAGUGGGGGAUAACGCUCGGAAACGGACGCUAAUACCGCAUACGUCCUACGGGAGAAAGCAGGGGACCUUCGGGCCUUGCGCUAUCAGAUGAGCCUAGGUCGGAUUAGCUAGUUGGUGAGGUAAUGGCUCACCAAGGCAACGAUCCGUAACUGGUCUGAGAGGAUGAUCAGUCACACUGGAACUGAGACACGGUUCAGACUCCUACGGGAGGCAGCAGUGGGGAAUAUUGGACAAUGGGCGAAAGCCUGAUCCAGCCAUGCCGCGUGUGUGAAGAAGGUCUUCGGAUUGUAAAGCACUUUAAGUUGGGAGGAAGGGCAUUAACCUAAUACGUUGGUGUCUUGACGUUACCGACAGAAUAAGCACCGGCUAACUCUGUGCCAGCAGCCGCGGUAAUACAGAGGGUGCAAGCGUUAAUCGGAAUUACUGGGCGUAAAGCGCGCGUAGGUGGUUUGUUAAGUUGGAUGUGAAAUCCCCGGGCUCAACCUGGGAACUGCAUUCAAAACUGACAAGCUAGAGUAUGGUAGAGGGUGGUGGAAUUUCCUGUGUAGCGGUGAAAUGCGUAGAUAUAGGAAGGAACACCAGUGGCGAAGGCGACCACCUGGACUGAUACUGACACUGAGGUGCGAAAGC
Molecule: ribosomal RNA, 738 nt
Filed under: uncultured soil bacterium
Lineage: Bacteria
Description: bacterial SSU rRNA
Rfam family: Bacterial small subunit ribosomal RNA
Source: RNAcentral